Molecule: unclassified non-coding RNA, 200 nt
Filed under: Oryza sativa (Asian cultivated rice)
Lineage: Eukaryota; Viridiplantae; Streptophyta; Magnoliopsida; Poales; Poaceae
Description: partial microRNA MIR453 precursor
Source: RNAcentral
UCACAAGGCCAUGAUGAUAGGAGCAAAGGAAACAUAUGUAUUACAACUCACAGCAUAGGCAAAAACACCUGAUUGUGCUAAUUCAUUUAUAUAAUGGAAGAAAGAAGACUGACUCUUUUGAUGGUACGAGUCAUGACUUUCUGAGCACAAGAAAGCCUUUGAGUCUCCCACAUUUGCAGCUAUGAUUUGGCCAUCGACUA